This 253-nucleotide ribosomal RNA is filed under the name uncultured bacterium. RNAcentral describes it as "partial 16S ribosomal RNA". It matches the Rfam family "Bacterial small subunit ribosomal RNA", at positions 524 to 776 of the family's 1533-position model. The record is from RNAcentral.
UACGUAGGGGGCAAGCGUUGUCUGGAUUUAUUGGGCGUAAAGAGCGUGUAGGUGGCCAUGUAGGUCCGCUGUGAAAACUCGAGGCUCAACCUCGAGCUGUCGGUGGAAACCACAUGGCUAGAGUCCGGAAGAGGAGAGUGGAAUUCCUGGUGUAGCGGUGAAAUGCGCAGAUAUCAGGAAGAACACCAAUGGCGAAGGCAGCUCUCUGGGACGGUACUGACACUGAGACGCGAAAGCGUGGGGAGCGAACAGG